RNAcentral lists this long non-coding RNA (529 nucleotides) under Rosa chinensis. Its description in RNAcentral is "sRNA RchiOBHm_Chr2g0151541". The record is from RNAcentral. Lineage: Eukaryota; Viridiplantae; Streptophyta; Magnoliopsida; Rosales; Rosaceae.
GCGUAGAGGAGGCAGAGGAUCCGGCCCAACUCGCCUUUAGACCCGGCGGUGCUGCUUUGCGUCUCAGGCCUCUUUGUUAAUGUUCUCAGGAAGCAUCUCAAGCUUCCGUGAGAGGAUUUAAUGGCGGUACCGUGGCAACAACAAACUAUUCAACUUGGCCGCUGACGAAGGCUUUGAAUCCGAGGCCGUAUAGAUGAGAUCUAAGGCGGAGGCGGGUUCUCCUUGGAGGCUUUAUGCUUUCUCGAAGGCUUGCCAGACUGAGAGUCUGAGUGGAGCGGCGUUCCUUCUUGAUUUCGAACCCAGAAAGGGAGAAAGCGCCUAGGCUCCGACCUUCCAGAGCCGCCCAGCCCCGCCUAGGCGGCCGACUUUAUUCCCAGCACCCAGCUCGCUCGACUAGGGGAGAAUCAGAGGGGUACCAGAGAGAUCUCGGAGGCGGUGGAUUCGUGGUCAAGGGCUUCACAGUCGGGGAUUGGGAAAGAGAUUGUCAGAGUAGCAGUGGAGUUUUGGAAAGAGAGUGAAUGCUACCACG